GGCGAACGGGUGAGUAACACGUGAGUAACCUGCCCUUGACUCUGGGAUAAGCGUUGGAAACGACGUCUAAUACCGGAUACGAGCUAGGACCGCAUGGUCACUAGUUGGAAAGAAUUUCGGUCAAGGAUGGACUCGCGGCCUAUCAGCUAGUUGGUGAGGUAAUGGCUCACCAAGGCGACGACGGGUAGCCGGCCUGAGAGGGUGACCGGCCACACUGGGACUGAGACACGGCCCAGACUCCUACGGGAGGCAGCAGUGGGGAAUAUUGCACAAUGGGCGCAAGCCUGAUGCAGCAACGCCGCGUGAGGGACGACGGCCUUCGGGUUGUAAACCUCUUUUAGCAGGGAAGAAGCGAAAGUGACGGUACCCGCAGAAAAAGCACCGGCUAACUACGUGCCAGCAGCCGCGGUAAUACGUGGGGUGCAAGCGUUGUCCGGAAUUAUUGGGCGUAAAGAGCUCGUAGGCGGUUUGUCGCGUCUGCUGUGAAAAUCCGAGGCUCAACCUCGGACCUGCAGUGGGUACGGGCAAACUAGAGUGCGGUAGGGGAGAUUGGAAUUCCUGGUGUAGCGGUGGAAUGCGCAGAUAUCAGGAGGAACACCAAUGGCGAAGGCAGAUCUCUGGGCCGUAACUGACGCUGAGGAGCGAAAGCGUGGGGAGCGAACAGGAUUAGAUACCCUGGUAGUCCACGCCGU
RNAcentral lists this ribosomal RNA (692 nucleotides) under uncultured Microcella sp. RNAcentral describes it as "bacterial SSU rRNA". It matches the Rfam family "Bacterial small subunit ribosomal RNA", at positions 97 to 803 of the family's 1533-position model. The record is from RNAcentral. Lineage: Bacteria; Bacillati; Actinomycetota; Actinomycetes; Micrococcales; Microbacteriaceae.